CAACCUUCAGAGACUCAAGAACGAACCAUAACUGCUGCCCCAAAAUGCUCCACCAUCAUCCGCCGGCGGCGGCACCUUCAAUCACUCCCAAACUAAUACCCUGAAACCCCCAUGACCCCCUCAUACUGAAUCCACAACUCUUUUCCCUCGAAUCUUCCUUGAACUCCUCAAAUUUUAAAUCAAAGAGAUGAACCCUAAAAUACCCAAAGUCCCUGAUUCGAGGUUUUCUUUAAGAUUUAGGUCUAUUCCAACUUUAUUUGUGUAUUCUUGGUAAGACCACACAAUUAAGAUCGAAUUGGGCCAAAUAUUGGAAGGUUUUGAAGAUCCGACAUCCGUUUCUUAUUGGUCCGAGUUUGUUUUAGGUAUUCUUUCUCUUCUUUGCCUUUUGAUAUUUAAUUUCCGUUUCUUUGUUAUUUUCUCAUCUUCUCCUACUCUUUCUGUUAGUUUUCUGAUUUUACUUCCUAUUUUCUUUCAUUCCUUCACACUGUUCUAUAUUUGCAUGCUAAUUUUAGGUGGUGUUUUAGUUAUUAUUUGUGUUCUGGUGCUAAGCUUAGAGGUAUUAGAUUUUGUUUCUGUCUGGGUUCCAAGUUUUUCGAGUCUUGAGACUAUGUAAUUGAAUAUAUAUAGAUGUUUUCGAGUUUUCAGUCUUGAUUUGAUUUGAGAAGUCAAAGGACCCAAUAGAGAGUUGAAUUGGAUUUUCAACAGACCCAUCAACACUUCGAAUCGGGUCAACUUGACCCAUAUUUCUACCUGGACCAAGGGUAACUUUCAGCGUCUUGUGGGAUAAUUUAGGAAUUCUCGGGGUAAGGGAAUCUCAGUAACUAAUGUGGAAUAUUGUUUCUAAACUAAGGGCUCCUAAGCUAAAAUGAAAAUUUCAGAAGGUUCUAAGGGCAACAUUUAUUUCUUUGAGGCUGCCCUAGAACCUUGCCUAUAAAGGUUCCCUAACUUGAUAUUCAAUGCAGAAAUCAGAGAAGUAAAAAUCCAAAAAGAAAAAAAAAUAGAACGGCUGAAAAUUCUGAACUACACUAAUUUUCCAGGAUUUCCUUCAAUGAAAAUUGGUCAAAAUUUUAUCUAGCUUGGAUUUUCUGGUUCUUUCCCAUUAGUUUGAACCUCUGAAAGUUUCAUAUCUUGCACAUUUUGGGGUUGAAAUGGAUUGAAGUUGGGUUUUGAAAAUUCUGGUUUACGUUUUGUUGCUUGGUUAUUGUUUCAUUGAUUCUGGGCACUGUUUCAUUGCUUAUCUGCUGCUGCUCAUCUAAUGAUUUUUCACUCCUUUUGUUUCCCUUCAAUUUUCAGGUAUUCCUGUAAACCAUGGAUAGCAAACGAUUGUAAACAUGCAAAUUUGAGUGGAAAUUUGACUAAAUGCAAAUCAUUUUGAGAUUUGAUUAUUAGUUUUCUUCUAUGUUUAUGUGUCAUUUCUGUAGUGAUUCUAAAGUUAUAUGUUCUAUCUUCAGUUUUCUUUCACCAUGUUUAAUAUCAGUAUUGUUUCAAC
Molecule: long non-coding RNA, 1489 nt
Filed under: Nicotiana benthamiana
Lineage: Eukaryota; Viridiplantae; Streptophyta; Magnoliopsida; Solanales; Solanaceae
Description: long non-coding RNA (NBEN_LNC010378)
Source: RNAcentral